This 515-nucleotide ribosomal RNA is filed under the name uncultured bacterium. RNAcentral's name for it is "partial 16S ribosomal RNA". It matches the Rfam family "Bacterial small subunit ribosomal RNA", at positions 28 to 523 of the family's 1533-position model. The record is from RNAcentral.
GAUGAACGCCGGCGGCGUGCCUAAUACAUGCAAGUCGAGCGAAUGGAUUAAGAGCUUGCUCUUAUGAAGUUAGCGGCGGACGGGUGAGUAACACGUGGGUAACCUGCCCAUAAGACUGGGAUAACUCCGGGAAACCGGGGCUAAUACCGGAUAACAUUUUGAACCGCAUGGUUCGAAAUUGAAAGGCGGCUUCGGCUGUCACUUAUGGAUGGACCCGCGUCGCAUUAGCUAGUUGGUGAGGUAACGGCUCACCAAGGCAACGAUGCGUAGCCGACCUGAGAGGGUGAUCGGCCACACUGGGACUGAGACACGGCCCAGACUCCUACGGGAGGCAGCAGUAGGGAAUCUUCCGCAAUGGACGAAAGUCUGACGGAGCAACGCCGCGUGAGUGAUGAAGGCUUUCGGGUCGUAAAACUCUGUUGUUAGGGAAGAACAAGUGCUAGUUGAAUAAGCUGGCACCUUGACGGUACCUAACCAGAAAGCCAUGGCUAACUACGUGCCAGCAGCCGCAGUAA